RNAcentral lists this long non-coding RNA (402 nucleotides) under Ursus maritimus (polar bear). RNAcentral's name for it is "lncRNA (ENSUMAG00000011239.1)". The record is from RNAcentral. Lineage: Eukaryota; Metazoa; Chordata; Mammalia; Carnivora; Ursidae.
AUGCCGUGGGAGACACCAUGUCACUCUCCCAGAAAGCAGGGACUGUGUGCUGUCAACCUCGGCAUUUCUCUGUGUACUCAGGUCCUGGCACACAGUAGGGCCUCAACAAAUGCGCAACGACUGGCUGACACGAUGCCCAGUGUGAGGCGUACAGAAGAGGAAACAUCAUCUUGUCCUGGAGCAGCUCUCAGCAGAGGGCAAAGGCUCCACCACCGCCAGACUAGAAAGGCCGCGAGAGCCCACCACUCCCUCAAACGUGCCCGUAUGGUAUCGAUGUAUCAAAGCAGUGCCACCAGAAGCAGCAGGAAAAAGCCAGCAAACACCGUCAGGGAACGCGGUAAUUUUCAGGAGCGGACUCCAAGCAGAGAACUCUUAAGUUACCAGAGAAAGAAUUUAAAGUAG